This 403-nucleotide ribosomal RNA is filed under the name uncultured bacterium. RNAcentral's name for it is "partial 16S ribosomal RNA". It matches the Rfam family "Bacterial small subunit ribosomal RNA", at positions 30 to 526 of the family's 1533-position model. The record is from RNAcentral.
AUUGAACGCUGGCGGCAGGCCUAACACAUGCAAGUCGAGCGAGCGGCGGACGGGUGAGUAAUGUAUGGGGACUGCCCGAUAGAGGGGGAUAAAUACUGGAAACGGUGGCUAAUACCGCAUACUAUCCGAUAACCCAUAUGGGAUUAGCUAGUAGGUGGGGGAAGGGCUCACCGAGGCGACGAUCUCUAGCUGGUCGGAGAGGAUGAUCAGCAACACUGGACUGGAGACACGGCCCAGACUCCUACGGAGGAAGCAGUGGGGAAUAUUGGACAAUGGGCGCAAUCUGGAUGCAGCCAUGCGGCGUGAAUGAAGAAGGCCUUCGGGUUGUAAAGUUCUUUCGGUGGGGAGGCGUUAACUACAGAAGAAGCAACGGCUAACUCCGUGCCAGCAGCCGCGGUAAUUC